This 253-nucleotide ribosomal RNA is filed under the name uncultured archaeon. RNAcentral's name for it is "partial 16S ribosomal RNA". It matches the Rfam family "Archaeal small subunit ribosomal RNA", at positions 474 to 727 of the family's 1478-position model. The record is from RNAcentral.
UACCAGCUCCCCGAGUGGUCGGGACGGUUAUUUGGCCUAAAGCAUCCGUAGCCGGUCCUGUCCGUCUUCCGUUAAAUCUAACGGCCCAACCGUUAGGCUGCGGAAGAUACCACAGGACUAGGAGACGGGAGAGGUGGACGGUACUCCGGGGGUAGGGGUAAAAUCCUCUGAUCCUCGGAAGACCACCAGCGGCGAAGGUUGUCCACCAGAACGUGUCCGACGGUGAGGGAUGAAAGCUGGGGGAGCGAACCGG